RNAcentral lists this ribosomal RNA (273 nucleotides) under uncultured bacterium. Its description in RNAcentral is "partial 16S ribosomal RNA". It matches the Rfam family "Bacterial small subunit ribosomal RNA", at positions 524 to 796 of the family's 1533-position model. The record is from RNAcentral.
GACGGAAGGUGCAAGCGUUGCUCGGAAUCACUGGGCGUAAAGGGUGCGUAGGCGGCUGUGCAAGUCUGGCGUGAAAGCCCCGGGCUCAGCCCGGGAAGUGCGCUCGAAACUGCGCAGCUCGAGUGCCGGAGGGGAGAGUGGAAUUCCUGGUGUAGCGGUGAAAUGCGUAGAUAUCAGGAGGAAUACCGGUGGCGAAAGCGACUCUCUGGACGGUAACUGACGCUGAGGCACGAAAGCGUGGGGAGCAAACAGGAUUAGAAACCCCCGUAGUCC